Mustela lutreola (European mink) is the source of this 2657-nucleotide long non-coding RNA. RefSeq lists it as uncharacterized. The transcript has 8 exons. The record is from RefSeq and is a predicted model, not a curated record. NCBI's taxonomy places the organism in Eukaryota, Metazoa, Chordata, Mammalia, Carnivora, Mustelidae.
CCAGGAGUCCCUGGGAAGGGAGGGAGACGGCCCUUAGCCCCUCGCCCCUUGGCCCCAGCGCCCCCGUGGUAGGAAAACGGGCUCCUCCCCCACGGGAAACAGGGUCACGUGAAAAAGGUUGGGGCGUCUCUCACGCUCUGACCCCACCAUGACCCCUGCAUUCUCUCUACGCCUGUAAAUUCUGGGGGUUCCCGGACAGCUCUGGGGCGUGGCCAGCUGAGACCCUCAUUUCCUGGACUUUCGAGGCCUGACAGAGAGAGAGAGCACAAGCAGGGGGAAGAGGAAAGGAGGAAGCUGGCUCCCCACUGAGCAGGGAGCUGAUACAGAACUUAAUCCUAGGACCCUGGGACCAUGACCUGAGCUAAAGAGAGAGAGCACAGCAGGGGGAACAGCAGGCAGAGGGAGAAGUAAGCUCCCCGUUCAGCAAGGAACCUGAUGUGGGGCUCGAUCCCAGGACCCUGGAUCAUGACUUGAGCUGAAGGCAGACGCCCAACCGACUGAGCCUCCCAGGGAACUGGAUUCUGGUCUCACUGAAUCUGUGUCUGCACUAAUCUGGACAGCCCUGCCCUCCAGUCAGAGGUACCUGAGUUGAAAAUAGUAUCUAAUCAGCCACGUGCCAAGUACAGCCAAGAAUAUGGCCAGCUGUGUUGAACCAACGAGAUUGGAACUGUCAGCUCUCAGGAGGAAGCCCCGACAGACCUGGUCAGUAUUGGAUUCACUGAGGAUGUCAGGAAAGGUGCCCUUGGCAGAACUGGUGGAACUUUAGCAAAAACCAGUGAUCCUCUCAAGGCAUCGCCAGUAUCUGCACUGGGGCCCUUUCCUAUGAGAUCCCCGGCCCCUUGUUUCUCAUACCUUCCUCCUGAAAGACAGAGUGACUCCUAUAAGAAGAAUGAUUUGUUUCCUUCACUGGUUCCUAGGUUGUAUCUCCUUCACUCUCCUUUCUUGGCUGAGGUCUCUGGCACGUGGAGAAGCAGGAAGGGUUCCUUGUGAAGGAUGCUCACCACAUUUCUGCGGGGAGAGCUUUCCCUAUCUGCUGUAAAGAUCAUAUGGCUUCAGCUGCUGAUACUGAGUCAUUUAAGAACCCCACUGCAUCUAAGCCCAGAAAAGAAUAUCCCCCCUUACCCCACCCCCCCGGAUACCAAAGAUUGCAAAUGACAUGCCAUGUCUUCCAAGACACUUCUUUCACUGUUCUGGUGCCCCAUGAUCUCUCAUUUUUCUGCUUCUUUUGGGGUUAGGACUUAUCUGCUAAGUGAUAAUAUCAUUCACAUUUUUGUGUUAGAGGAUUUUUUAAAAAACCUAGCUUGCCUUAAUGAGAUUAAGGAAGGUAUCACAGUCUCUUUUGAAAUGUCCCUUACAGGGGUGCCUGGGUGGCUCAGCUGGUUAAACAUCUGCCUUUGGCUCAGGUCAUGAUCCCAGGAUCCUGGGAUUGAGCCCCACAUCAGGCUUCCUUCUCGGCAGGAGUGUCUGCUUCUUCCUCUGUGCCUUCCCCUGCUUGUGCUUGCUCACUCUCUCUCUCUCUGAAAGAAAUAUACAUCUUUAAAGAAAAAAAAAAAAAAAAAGAAACGUCUCUUACAGAUUCUGUGUACCCAGGGCAGUCUGGUGUAGUGAAAUAUAAAUCUUUUAAAAAAAAAUUGAAAAAAGGAAAAAUGUCUCUUACAGAUUCUGUGCACCCAGGACAGUAUGGUGUAGUGAAGAGACUCAGGCAGUCCAUUUAUUAAAUGACUGCUAUGUAGACUAAAAGAAAUAUACAGUUAGUCCUCACUUUUCAAAAGAUCACAUUAGACCGCCUCACUUUUAUGAAUUACCUACAUUAGUACCUGUUCUCGCUAACCAAAGGAAAUCUGAAGAUUUUCACUUCCACAAAAAAAAAAAAAAGUGAAAAUGGUACUCAGUGUUUGUUUCACAGUGAGCAUUGAGACAGCAUGCACACGGAGCAGUGAGAAGUGUCCCUGCCAAGUUUCUUCCCUGAGAUCUAUGCUAAAAUUUAGGUAAGAUUUUUCCUAGAAAGACCUUAUAUUUAUUGAGCCCUUACUAUACGCCUACCCCUGUUCUGAGUUCAAGUGUAUUAGCUCAUUUGAUAAUGACACCAGCUUUAAGAUGCCAAUGCUACUGCUGUUAUUAACUUCAUUUUAUAGAUGGAGACACCGAGGUUCAGAAGUCUUCACAGAUGGGAAGUAACUUGCUGUAGGUCACACAGUAAAGAGAAGGAGGGCGGUAUUUCAAGCCCAAGCAGUCUAGCGCUAGAAACCAACAUUUUUAACUGCUAUAGUAUAAUGCCUCUAUGGUUUACAGGCUCCCGAGGAGCAAAUGAAUCAGUGUGUAUGAAAACACUUUUGUGAGUUGUGAGACACAAUGCACUACUGUUACUUGUAGUGGACAAUCAAUAAAUGGCUUAGCUGAAUUGUUUGGGGGCACAAAAAGUAUACUUACAUUGUAAUGAUCCUUGGUACUUUUCAAAGUGCUUUCACACAUUUGAUCUCUCGGGAUAAUAAGCCACUUUGAAUCCAUUUUGGAACAAGGCUGGUCAUCCAUACAUGUGGGGCCGCUGAAGUCACAGGCCCAGAUAGGGGAAACACCUUGCUUACAGCAGGAAGUCAGUAACCCAGUCAGGACUGGCACGCGAAUGAUCCGACUCCUGGCUGGUUUUGUGCCUCUUU